This 257-nucleotide microRNA precursor is filed under the name Gossypium raimondii (Peruvian cotton). Its description in RNAcentral is "miR7494b stem-loop (gra-MIR7494b)". Lineage: Eukaryota; Viridiplantae; Streptophyta; Magnoliopsida; Malvales; Malvaceae. The record is from miRBase by way of RNAcentral.
ACCUUUUUUUUUUCCAUUCUCUUCUAUUUCCCCCUUUGUUUUCCUCCUUUCUUCAUUUCUUUUAAUGUAAAUUUUCUAUGUUUCCUAUUUGUUAAAACUAGUCCACGAGCUCGCCUCACUCAAAAAAAUUAAAUUGUUCAAAAACAUAAAAGUAUAGGGACUAGUUUUAACAAAUGAAAAACAUAGAAAAACUACGUUAAAAGAAAUGGGGAACGGAGGAAAACAGAGGGAGAAGCAGAAGAGAAUAAAAAAAAAGG